RNAcentral lists this ribosomal RNA (292 nucleotides) under Salmonella enterica. RNAcentral describes it as "partial 23S ribosomal RNA". It matches the Rfam family "Bacterial large subunit ribosomal RNA", at positions 2651 to 2925 of the family's 2925-position model. The record is from RNAcentral. Lineage: Bacteria; Pseudomonadati; Pseudomonadota; Gammaproteobacteria; Enterobacterales; Enterobacteriaceae.
GCGCUGGAGAACUGAGGGGGGCUGCUCCUAGUACGAGAGGACCGGAGUGGACGCAUCACUGGUGUUCGGGUUGUCAUGCCAAUGGCACUGCCCGGUAGCUAAAUGCGGAAGAGAUAAGUGCUGAAAGCAUCUAAGCACGAAACUUGCCCCGAGAUGAGUUCUCCCUGAGACUUAGAGUCUCCUGAAGGAACGUUGAAGACGACGACGUUGAUAGGCCGGGUGUGUAAGCGCAGCGAUGCGUUGAGCUAACCGGUACUAAUGAACCGUGAGGCUUAACCUUACAACGCCGAAG